Cottoperca gobio is the source of this 7030-nucleotide RNA transcript. It is a transcript of the gene named formin homology 2 domain containing 3a, with no coding region annotated. Lineage: Eukaryota; Metazoa; Chordata; Actinopteri; Perciformes; Bovichtidae. The record is from RefSeq and is a predicted model, not a curated record. The transcript is spliced from 29 exons.
ACCGGCUGCCCCAAGCUGCGCUGAUCCUUCACUCUCCGGUAGCAAGCUGGAGUCCGCCUGCUGCCUCCCCUUUAUCACUGACCACCUGCCUCUUCGACAAUAACACACCAAAACAAUCUCCGGCGAGCACAACCAAAGCAAGAGGAACAAGGCGAGACAAGACACUUGAUCGCUUUCUUAGUGCCACAUUUUCGGCUUCCAGUACUCCCCUCUCCUACCCUCUGCCCUGUCCUGAGGGAGGAGGACAGGCUGCGCACAGGAGCGCACUUGGUGAUCCGGGUUUGUUGUCGUUACCAGGAGAGGAGCGCUCAGCGACCCGAGCCAUACAGCUGGUACAGCUCUCAUUAAACCGUGUUGCCCCACCUCAGAGGAGAUACUUGCAUGGAUGCACCAUGGCCACGUUUGUCUGCAGGGUUCAGUUUUUAGAUGACACCGAUCCGUUCAACAGCACGAAUUUCCCAGAACCGACGAGACCUCCGCUUUACACCUUCAGGGAGGAUAUCCCACUCAUCAACCAGUUAGCAGGCAUCCACCGGCUCCUUAGGGCUCCACACAAGCUUGAUGACUGUACGCUGCAGCUAUCUCACAAUGGCACCUAUCUGGAUCUGGAGUCAUCUCUGGCUGAGCAAAAGGACGAGCUGGAGGGCUUUCAGCAGGACGACACAGGGUCAAGAGGGAAGAAGCACAGUGUUGUUCUACGGACCCAGCUGACCGUCCGUGUUCACGCCUGCAUCGAAAGACUGUAUAACUCCAAUGGACGUGACUUGAGAAGGGCACUGUUCUCUCUAAAGCAAAUUUUUCAGGAUGACAAAGAUCUGGUUCAUGAGUUUGUGAUGGCUGAAGGUCUGACAUGUCUCAUCAAGGUGGGCGCAGAAGCUGACCAGAACUACCAGAACUACAUAUUAAGAGCUCUGGGGCAGAUCAUGCUGUAUGUGGACGGGAUGAACGGAGUCAUUGGGCACGCUGAGACGAUCCAGUGGCUGUACACUCUUGUUGGCUCUAAGUUCCGUCUGGUGGUGAAAACAACUCUGAAGCUGCUGUUGGUGUUUGUGGAGUACUCCGAGUCCAACGGUCCGCUGCUGAUAGAAGCCAUCAGCUCUGUGGACACCAAGAGAGGAUGCAAGCCUUGGUCCAACACUAUGGAGAUCUUGCAUGAGAAGGAUGGUGUAGACACAGAGCUGCUGGUCUACGCCAUGACCCUCAUCAAUAAGACGCUCGCAGCUCUGCCUGAUCAGGACUCAUUUUACGAUAUGGUGGAUGGUCUGGAGGAACAGGGCAUGGACACGGUGUCCCAAAGACAUCUGGGGCGGAAAGGCACCGAUCUGGACUUGGUUGAGCAGCUCAACAUCUAUGAGAUGAGCAUACGGCAUGAAGACGGGGACGAUGACAGCCAGCCUCCACCAAUAGGACGCCGGGACCGCAGACGAGUCAGCCUUGGGGCCGGAGACAAAAUGCACGGCCUGGAGAGAAGGCGGAGCCGCAGGGCCUCUCUCGGCCGAUCCGGUCAGGCCUCGCCCUGCAGCCCUGCGUCCCCGCAGAGAGCCGGCAUUCAGCCUUUCUAUGGACAGAGAGCUGAAGACAUGAGCGAGAGACAUCUUCCAUCCAUAGUUCAACGAACAACCGUCCAGUCCAUCACCAUCACUUCCAGAAAGGAGAAUAUCAAAGAGGAGGAGCAGAGGAAUCGGAAUGAACCAACUCCAGCACCCACAAUCCACUCCCCCUCUACCUCCACCUUUUCUCCUCCUGUGUCCUCCCCUCUCAGCCCCCCUGCCCAACCCUCCCUUCUGUCCUCCCUGCUGGCCAGGAAGAGGUCCAUCGUCACUGUCCCGGCUACCAAGGAGGUCAGCCCGCCAUCACGCGGAAGCUCCCGUCCAUCCCCCGAACGCAUGCCCUACCUGCCCCACUCACCCUUCCACCUCUUCUCCUACGAUCUCGAUGAGGAGCCGUCACCCCCGGCUCCACCCAAACCCAGAGAGGAGUCCCCCAAACCCAGUGAGGAGUCUCCCAAAACAACGCCUCCCAGGAAUGGAGGUCUCAUGUCCUAUUCCUCUCUCAGCACCCCAAGUACGCCCACCACCUCCAGACCUGCUUUGGGAGGUCUUCUGUCCUCCUCGUACCGACAACACCAGGAAUCUCUGGCGGCCGAGCGGGAGCGCCGUCGUGUGGAGAGAGAGGAGAGGCUGCUGAGGAUAGAGAGGGAGGAGAGGAACAAGCACAGCCGCGACUAUGUGGAUAAAAUGGAAGAGGCCAGGCUUGCGCGGGAGGAGAGGUAUAAGAACGUGGAGCGUCUGGCGUCGGAGGAGUACGAGAGGGAGCACGUCCGGGUGCCGAGGACUCGCCCUGACCUCAACCUGACUUUUGAGCCCGCGGAGGCUUGGCCCUCGUCAUCUCGCAGCAGCACCCCGUCCUCUUUCGCCUCCCAGGAGGACGCAGAGGCUGACCUCGAAGCCGGGACCCCCGCCAUCCCCUACACACCCUCUGAGACUGGAGAGGCUGAUGACUCCAGUGCCAGUGUAGAGGAAAAAGAGGCCACUGCUGAAGAGGAAGAACAGAAAGAGGAGGACGUACAGGAGGAAACAGCAGCAGCAGAAAAGGAGGAAGAAACUGAAGAGUGUGAGCGGGAGCCGGAGAAGGAGAAAGAGGAGGCGGAGUCGGACAGCGGGAUCCUGAGUGACAAAGAACGACAGAAUGAGGAAGUGAAUGAGAAGGACAACUGCUCGGCGUCCAGCAUCUCCUCUGCCAGCAGCACUCUGGAGAGAGAGGAGAGGGGGGGCAGUGAGAAUGGCUUUAAGGAGCCAGAGGUGAACGAUCAGUGUGGCAAACUCCUCAACAGCAAGCUCUUCAUGCUGGACAUGCUGUACUCCCAGAACAAGAAGCCCAGCGACGAGGAGGAGGAGGAGGAAGAAGAGGAUGUGGAGAAGGAGAAGGAGAAAGAGAAAGGAGAGGGGGAGGACAAAGAAACCCAGGAGGAUGCUGAGGUGCAAGUGGCCGAUGACCAGGGCAACGCUGACAAGUCAGAGCAACACGGGAACAUACGACCGUUGGCUGAGCGGUUCGGAAACUUGGUCAAGGACCUCGCUUCGUUACCUCCUCACCUGGAUGUCCCAGCCAACGAGCCCCCUCCUCCCCCACCCAAGAAGGAAUCGGACACGAUCUGGGACCAGCUCCUGGCCAGCCCUCGAGAGCUGCGCAUCGGGGACAUCAACUUCACCGACCUGACGGAGGAAGACGACAAAGACAUUCUGGAUGCCGUUUUGAUGGGAGGAUGCGGUGACCUCCCGCCCCCGCCGCCUCCUCCACCCUGCAUAUUCCGCUUCCCUCCGCCCCCACCCAUGCUAGGCUGCUGCCCCCCGCCCCCUCCCUUGCUUGGGAUUAUGAGGCCUCCUCUUCCCCCUUCCUUUGGUGCCACAAUUCCAGUGCCUCCUCCCCCGGAGCCGCCUCUCUUCAACAAGAAGAAAAAGACAAUCCGGCUCUUCUGGAGCGAGGUGCGUCCGACAGACCCUCAGUACAGGGACUACAAGCGGAGCGGAGACUCGUUCUGGUCCAAACUGGAACCAGUGAAAAUGGACACAGCCAAACUGGAACACCUUUUUGAGUCGAAAUCGAAGGAAAUGCCAGUUACAAAGAAAACAGCGGCAGACGGCAAGCGUCAGGAGGUCAUCGUUUUGGAUUCCAAGAGGAGUAACGCCAUCAACAUCGGUCUGACUGUGCUGCCUCCUCCUCGCACCAUCAAGACGGCCAUCCUUAACUUUGACGAGUAUGCGCUCCACAAGGAGGGCAUUGAGAAAAUCCUGACGAUGAUCCCCACUGAGGAGGAGAAGCAGAAGAUCCAGGAGGCCCAGCUGGCCAACCCUGACGUCCCUCUGGGCUCCGCAGAGCAGUUCCUCCUCACGCUGUCCUCCAUCAGCGAGCUCUCUGCCAGACUCCAACUCUGGGCCUUCAAAAUGGACUACGAGGCAACGCAAAAGGAAGUAGCAGAGCCGCUGCAGGAUCUGAAGGAGGGUAUGGAACAGCUGGAGAAGAACAAAACUCUCCGCUACAUCCUCGCCACACUGCUCUCUAUGGGAAACUUCCUCAACGGCACCAAUGCUAAAGGCUUCGAGUUGACGUAUUUGCAGAAGGUUCCAGAGGUGAAGGACACGGUUCACAAGCAGUCUCUGCUGCAUCACGCCUGCUCCGUGGUGGUGGAGAACUUCCCUCAGAGCACCGACCUCUACUCCGAGAUCGGAGCCAUCACACGAUCUGCAAAAGUGGAUUUCGACCAGCUGCAGGAGAACCUGUGUCAGAUGGAGCGGCGCUGCAAAGCCUCGUGGGACCACCUGAAGGUGAUCGCCAAGCAUGAGAUGAAGCCCCAGCUGAAGCAGAAGAUGUCCGACUUCCUCAAAGACUGCGCCGAGAGGAUUAUCAUCCUCAAGAUCGUUCACCGCAGGAUCAUCAACAGGUUCCACGCGUUCCUGUUGUUCCUCGGUCAUCCGGCCUACAGUGUGAGGGAGGUCAGCGUCCACAGGUUCAGUAAGAUCCUCAGCGAGUUUGCCCUGGAGUACCGAACCACCCGAGACCGCGUCCUGCAGCAGAAACAGAAACGGGCUGACCACCGCGAACGCAACAAGACCCGAGGAAAGAUGAUCAUAGACGUCAACGCUCCUUCUGAUGAUGAAGAGGAGAGUGAGUGUGGUAAGUAUGGCUCCAGCAGCACCAACAGCGCCCCUAGUGGCAGUCAGGAGGGCGAGCAGCCUCAGGGUCUGGGCCACACUGAGGACGCCGCAGAGCACGAGCACAUGAAAGCCAUGCUGAGGACCAGCCUCAGCGGCGGCGACAAGGAGCCCAGUGGAGUGCCGGGGCUUCGGACACGGACGAGAUCCCGGCCUGGAAGGGGAGGUCGCAUUAUGCCUGCACGGACCCCGCCUGUGGAGGAGACUCAGAUCUGUGGAGACGACGAUGCAGACGAGAUCAUGGAGCGUAUAGUGAGGUCGGCCACGCAGGGUCCGGGAACCAGAGCCCAGCCCAGAGAGAGGAGGAGGUCCAGGGCCAACCGCAAGUCAUAUGCCUAAAGCUUAAACAGAGAGGGAUCAAUGAGCAAAACAACCAAACAUGAUUUGACGAUCAGUCGACAAUAGGCAAGAACUGACCAAUCAGAUUCACACCCCUAAAAGACUAUUGGUUUCAUUGUGGGGAAUGUAGGCUCAGGUGUUUUUGGAGCUUCACCCACACUAGAAACUAAAGGUCAGGAUACCUCGGCCUCCGCUGCAUCAACUUUGACCCGUCUUGACAGAGUAGCGCUGGACAUACAAUCUGACAUUAAGGUGACACUUGAACACAGCAUGACCAGAGCAGCCACAGUGAGGCGGACUCUGAAGAACGGCCUGACCCCAGAGGAAGCUCUUGCUUUAGGACUUAGCGAUUCUCCAGAUUCACAAAUGUGAUCCUCCCGACCCGCUUGUCGUCGUCACAGUAGUGGAAACGCCGCUACAGAGUUGUUUUCCACCCGUCACAAACCCUUUUUAGGUUUUUACCCAGCUGCUAAUUUUUGCCUGAUGUGUCCGAGUGAUGAAGCUGCAGCCGUGAUAGUGUUUUUAUUUUGAAUGCAACACAAAGAAAGCUGAAGAAAGAGAACUGAUGUAUUCAACUAGGCGAGGAAAAGGACAUUUUUAAUCCAGCGCUGCUGCCUCUACACACUCAUCCACUGUUUUCAUCGAAAGAUUUUUUGAAAUGUUGCAUUAGUCCAACUUUAGCGUGUGAGUUUCUGCAGCUGUGACUUCACCAUUUUUCAUUUAUUUAAGCUGUGAAUUUCAGUUGUAAAGAUUAACGGGCUGAAGUGGAAGAUUGAUUUUUUUCUCGUAUCUAGUUUCAAAGAAUCCUGAGAGAUCGUCACAAACAAAGAGGCAAAUGUCUCUGCAGCUGCACAUUUGACAAGUGUACAAGUGUGGUUGUGUUUAGUAGGACUGAGAAAGUCUUACAAUCUGAUGUGAUGUGCCUUUCUUUUAAAAGGGACGGUACUGAACCUUUUGGGUGUCCCUCCUUCUUGUUUCAGUCACCUCCUACUUCUCAGAUAACUCACACAUGUCACAUUCACAGGUGAAGUUAUAUCGGGUACGACUGUUGAUUACAAUUUACUUUUUUUAAGUUUGGCAAAAUAUUUGUUUGCAAAACUCGGACAUCUUGCACCUUACUCAACAUUAUUAGUUUCUAAUGCUGAAAUGAACGACACAGACAAAAGGAAGUAUUUAUCUCAGAGGAAAUGUUUGUAAAGUGUAAAAAGACGAAAAGUUAAAGACAUUUUUUAAAUUUUAAAUCUAUUUUGAAGGACAUUGCAGAGAAUUCUGCAUAAAAUGUGUAAAUGCCCUUGUCAGCUGCCAGGUACUAAGUACUGUAGAACUACAGUGUGCAUGUUUAGUGCGGUUCAUUUGAUGUAUUAUUUUUGUAAUUUCUCAGAGAAAGGGUAAAAAGAGGUUAUUCUGUGAAUUGUAAUAAAAUAAAUGAAAGAUGUGGUCAUAGCUGAAAUAUGUGUUCUGAAAGUAUCGCACCGUGCUGAGAGAGGGGCAUUCACUUUGAACUCUGUGGUCACUUUGUACUUUGUAUGAACUUGAAAAGUGUGUGGAUAAUAAUAAUAAUAAUAAGUCUCAGCUAAACCAUCUGCUCCUCUCACAGUGCAACAAAAAACAGGGAAAUAUCGCUGCAUAAAUAUAAUGUGGUGAGCUGAACAUGAAACUAUGGUUACAGACACUUUCACUUGAAAUGCUGUGUAUACACACUCUGCAAUAAAACACAAAAAAAACAUUGAGUGAAAAAAAAAAAAGGAUAUAGAUGUCAUUCUUCUUCACUGCUUUGGAUUAAGGAGGUGCCAUAAACUGCUGCUCACUUCUCCUGUGCAGAUCACAAAGAUCAAUUAAUCAAAGAUAAGCGUGGUACCACAUUAAACUCUUGUGCCCCACUAGUUGUGUUAAUGCAUGCAAUUUACACAUGUUUGCCAUAUGGCUAAAGAUGCUAUUUUACCUACUUACUUCACCAUUGUAUUGUAUAUCUGUAAGUU